CGCACGGGUGAGUAACACGUAUCCAACCUGCCGUCUACUCUUGGACAGCCUUCUGAAAGGAAGAUUAAUACAAGAUGGCAUCAUGAGUCCGCAUGUUCACAUGAUUAAAGGUAUUCCGGUAGACGAUGGGGAUGCGUUCCAUUAGAUAGUAGGCGGGGUAACGGUCCACCUAGUCUUCGAUGGGUAGGGGUUCUGAGAGGAAGGUCCCCCACAUUGGAACUGAGACACGGUCCAA
RNAcentral lists this ribosomal RNA (235 nucleotides) under uncultured bacterium. RNAcentral's name for it is "partial 16S ribosomal RNA". It matches the Rfam family "Bacterial small subunit ribosomal RNA", at positions 99 to 334 of the family's 1533-position model. The record is from RNAcentral.